AUUUACUCUAAUGUUGAAACCGACAUCAUAGAGUUGUCCCUGCCGAACGAAAAUCGCCUACCUGUACCGUGCGUUCGUAAGACGGGGCCAGCACGGCAUGCAGGUGUGCCGUCCUCUAGAUUCUAGAAGCCCAGAAAGAAGCCAACCCAACCUUCUUCCCUAGAACCAAAGAUAUUAUUAGACGACGCGUGAUGUUACGCCACUGUUUAUUCAGCACUACGCCGCGGUUUCUAACAUAAAAUCGAAAUACUAUUUAAACUGUUAUAAUUUAAUCUACACGUGCGAAUAAUAAUAACAAUCGUACCUAUAAUAACUACGAUACAUUAAUAACACGAUCAGGCACGCGUGUACAGAAACCAAUGAAUCCCCGGGGGAAUUUUAAUUGCAGUGCACGAUGCUUUAGAAGUAGCGUUUUUCAAAUUUCGGGGGAUGAACCCCUUAUGGCCCUCUGUGUACGUCCCGGAAAAUUAACAUGGAAUAACUUCGCGUAAGGCGUUUGCGAAUAAUAUACCUACCGCAAAAGUAUCGAGAAAAUGGUUAAACAACAGAUUAACGGACUAAUUUACGCGUGGUUGAGUACCUACUUAGUACCUAAAUACAUUAUGUAUAAUAUGAGUGUAUACAACGUAUGAAACUGUGUUUUUUUUUUUUUUGUGGAUUACAAAAUAAUGAAGAAGGUAAAUUUGAAGUCCGGACGAAUAACGAGUUAAACACGAAACCACCCAGACAACGUUGAGCCGAUAGAAUCGAGGAUGA
Cinara cedri is the source of this 756-nucleotide non-coding RNA. Lineage: Eukaryota; Metazoa; Arthropoda; Insecta; Hemiptera; Aphididae. The record is from the annotation of a GenBank genome assembly.